AGCGAACGUUAGCGGCGGGCCUAACACAUGCAAGUCGAGCGAGAAAGUGGCUUCGGCCAUCAGUAAAGCGGCGGACGGGUGAGUAACACGUAGGUAAUCUUCCCUUGAGCGGGGGACAACGUUUCGAAAGGAACGCUAAUACCGCAUAAGUUUCCAGAGCCUCCGGGUUUUGGUAAGGAAAGCUAGGUCGCAAGAUCCGGCACUCGAGGAGGAGCCUGCGUCGCAUCAGCUAGUUGGUGGGGUAANGGCCUACCAAGGCGAAGACGCGUAGCUGGUCUGAGAGGAUGAUCAGCCACACUGGGACUGAGACACGGCCCAGACUCCUACGGGAGGCAGCAGUGGGGAAUAUUGGACAAUGGGCGCAAGCCUGAUCCAGCCACGCCGCGUGAGUGAUGAAGGCCUU
RNAcentral lists this ribosomal RNA (403 nucleotides) under uncultured bacterium. Its description in RNAcentral is "bacterial SSU rRNA". It matches the Rfam family "Bacterial small subunit ribosomal RNA", at positions 29 to 418 of the family's 1533-position model. The record is from RNAcentral.